GAUGAACGCUGGCGGCGUGCUUAACACAUGCAAGUCGAACGAUGAAGGGGUGCUUGCACCUUGGAUUAGUGGCGAACGGGUGAGUAACACGUGAGCAACCUGCCCCUGACUCUGGGAUAAGCGCUGGAAACGGCGUCUAAUACUGGAUACGAGCAACGGCCGCAUGGCCAGUUGUUGGAAAGAUUUUUUGGUUGGGGAUGGGCUCGCGGCCUAUCAGCUUGUUGGUGAGGUAAUGGCUCACCAAGGCGUCGACGGGUAGCCGGCCUGAGAGGGUGACCGGCCACACUGGGACUGAGACACGGCCCAGACUCCUACGGGAGGCAGCAGUGGGGAAUAUUGCACAAUGGGCGGAAGCCUGAUGCAGCAACGCCGCGUGAGGGAUGACGGCCUUCGGGUUGUAAACCUCUUUUAGCAGGGAAGAAGCGUGAGUGACGGUACCUGCAGAAAAAGCGCCGGCUAACUAC
Molecule: ribosomal RNA, 464 nt
Filed under: Gram-positive bacterium 6-3
Lineage: Bacteria
Description: bacterial SSU rRNA
Rfam family: Bacterial small subunit ribosomal RNA
Source: RNAcentral